GGCAUAGGAAAUUGAACACAUGUCCGAAACAUUUCAAAAAAGUUCGAAGCAACGUUUUUGGCUAUAUCAAUGCCGUAUGCAUACCUGAAAAUAUAUUUUGGAAAUCACUCAUUACGACAUCUUGAAUGAAACCAAUGAAGAUAAAAAACGAAAACCGUACUUUUUACGUGAAAUGUCAACGUUACAUCCAGCAAAUGCUGUCAUUAUAAAAAUAAUAUGAAAUCUGAACAAUAUUGGACACAUAACUAAACAUAACUUUUAACAAAAAAAAACUUUAUGUCCACGAACUACAUUUAUUCAAUUACUGGAGUAGAAAACCUUGAAAACAUUUCAAUUUAUGACUGUAAUGAAAUUGAAUUUUUUAUACCAAAUAAAAUAGUUUUCAGCGUAAACAGCAAUUUAUUUAGUAUUCACUAAAGAAAUGUCCAGUAAAAUUCGUUUUAAUGUGAAAGGGAGAGGAGGGUACGAUCAGGAAAUUAUCAUUUUUCUCGGAGCUCGAAUGCGGUGUGGGAGGUUUGCAUUUUGAAAUGACAUUUGAAAUAAAUUUCCGCAAGCGACUACAUUCCCGCCGGAGGCGUUCUAUUGGAAUAUUGGCCCGAUAAUAAUUAAUUCCUUCAAACCGCAUCCCGUUUUAGGGUUUACUCACUUUAACCUUUUUAAUGGAAAUCAAAUUUGAUUCUAAAAUAAUGCAUGCGUUACGAAAGGGUUUUAUUAACAAGUUAUAAAUCUAUUUAAACUAAUAUUAAAUUCUGAACAAAGUUGGUCCAUCCAUCAAUUGAUAUCAAUGAUUUUUUUUACGAGAUAUAGCUGUUUUAUAAUAUAUUUUCAACAAAUAAAUGAUUAAGCAUCA
Bombyx mori (domestic silkworm) is the source of this 850-nucleotide long non-coding RNA. RefSeq lists it as uncharacterized. Lineage: Eukaryota; Metazoa; Arthropoda; Insecta; Lepidoptera; Bombycidae. The record is from RefSeq and is a predicted model, not a curated record. The transcript has 3 exons.